UACUCUUGACAUCCAGAGAAUUCGCUAGAGAUAGCUUAGUGCCUUCGGGAACUCUGAGACAGGUGCUGCAUGGCUGUCGUCAGCUCGUGUUGUGAAAUGUUGGGUUAAGUCCCGCAACGAGCGCAACCCUUAUCCUUUGUUGCCAGCGAUUCGGUCGGGAACUCAAAGGAGACUGCCGGUGAUAAACCGGAGGAAGGUGGGGAUGACGUCAAGUCAUCAUGGCCCUUACGAGUAGGGCUACACACGUGCUACAAUGGCGUAUACAAAGAGAAGCGAACUCGCGAGAGCAAGCGGACCUCAUAAAGUACGUCGUAGUCCGGAUUGGAGUCUGCAACUCGACUCCAUGAAGUCGGAAUCGCUAGUAAUCGUAGAUCAGAAUGCUACGGUGAAUACGUUCCCGGGCCUUGUACACACCGCCCGUCACACCAUGGGAGUGGGUUGCAAAAGAAGUAGGUAGCUUAACCUUCGGGAGGGCGCUUACCACUUGUGUGAUUCAUGACUGGGGUGAAGUCGAACAAGG
This 520-nucleotide ribosomal RNA is filed under the name Serratia sp. RE1-2a. RNAcentral describes it as "bacterial SSU rRNA". It matches the Rfam family "Bacterial small subunit ribosomal RNA", at positions 976 to 1496 of the family's 1533-position model. The record is from RNAcentral. Lineage: Bacteria; Pseudomonadati; Pseudomonadota; Gammaproteobacteria; Enterobacterales; Yersiniaceae.